GCCUAAAUAUUUUAUUAAAAAUAUUGUUUUGUGGAAUCAAAGAUAUGAAUUUUCAUUUUAGGUC
This 64-nucleotide transfer RNA is filed under the name Euchorthippus unicolor. Its description in RNAcentral is "tRNA-His". RNAcentral also lists the same sequence under 2 other names. The record is from RNAcentral. Lineage: Eukaryota; Metazoa; Arthropoda; Insecta; Orthoptera; Acrididae.